GAGACUCUCAUCAGUCUAUUUGAUUUGUAGGUCCAUGACGAUCAAGUUUGAUUCAGUCCUCAGCCCAUGCAAAUAUACGUUAGCUGAACUGGAAGAGGGCCACUGGAUGGUAACUGAGCAGAUCUUGCUGCCUAAUGACAUGGAUUGCUUCAUUUUCCAAGGAGUUACAAAUUGUACUGAAGACUGUGCAAUCAUUAGAGGAAACUGGAGUACCCAGAGGAAACCCACGCAGACACAAGGAGAAUGUGCAAGC
Molecule: long non-coding RNA, 253 nt
Organism: Stegostoma tigrinum
Lineage: Eukaryota; Metazoa; Chordata; Chondrichthyes; Orectolobiformes; Stegostomatidae
Exons: 3
Source: RefSeq, a predicted model, not a curated record